AUUGAACGCUGGCGGCAUGCUUUACACAUGCAAGUCGAGCGGCAGCGCGGGACUCAGGCAACUGAGCCCUGGCGGCGAGCGGCGAACGGGUGAGUAAUACAUCGGAACGUGUCCCGUAGUGGGGAGUAGCUCGGCGAAGACCGGACUUAAUACCGCAUAUGCUCUACGGAGGAAAGACGGGGAGUCUUUCUAGGCAACUGAGGGACCGUCCGCGCUAUGGAGGCGGCCGAUGUCCGAUUAGCUUGUUGGUGGGGUAACGG
This 260-nucleotide ribosomal RNA is filed under the name uncultured bacterium. RNAcentral describes it as "partial 16S ribosomal RNA". It matches the Rfam family "Bacterial small subunit ribosomal RNA", at positions 30 to 263 of the family's 1533-position model. The record is from RNAcentral.